AGUGAACGCUGGCGGCAGGCCUAACACAUGCAAGUCGAGCGGCAGCGCGUCCGACCACCCUCGGGUGGUCGGAUGGCGGCGAGCGGCGGACGGGUGAGGAAUGCAUCGGAAUCUGCCUCGUUGUGGGGGAUAACGUAGGGAAACUUACGCUAAUACCGCAUACGACCUACGGGUGAAAGUGGGGGGACCUUCGGGGCCUCAUGCGAUGAGAUGAGCCGAUGCCGGAUUAGCUAGUUGGCGGGGUAAAGGCCCACCAAGGCGACGAUCCGUAGCUGGUCUGAGAGGAUGAUCAGCCACACUGGAACUGAGACACGGUCCAGACUCCUACGGGAGGCAGCAGUGGGGAAUAUUGGACAAUGGGGGCAACCCUGAUCCAGCCAUGCCGCGUGUGUGAAGAAGGCCUUCGGGUUGUAAACUGCUUUUGGAUGGGAAUAAUAACCUCGACGUGUCGGGGCUUGAAGGUACCAUCAGAAUAAGCACCGGCUAACUCCGUG
RNAcentral lists this ribosomal RNA (494 nucleotides) under uncultured bacterium. RNAcentral describes it as "bacterial SSU rRNA". It matches the Rfam family "Bacterial small subunit ribosomal RNA", at positions 29 to 507 of the family's 1533-position model. The record is from RNAcentral.